RNAcentral lists this unclassified non-coding RNA (340 nucleotides) under soil metagenome. Its description in RNAcentral is "partial contains 5.8S ribosomal RNA, internal transcribed spacer 2, and large subunit ribosomal RNA". The stretch from base 1 to 120 matches the Rfam family "5.8S ribosomal RNA", at positions 35 to 154 of the family's 154-position model. The record is from RNAcentral.
GAUGAAGAACGUAGCGAAAUGCGAUAAGUAAUGUGAAUUGCAGAAUUCAGUGAAUCAUCGAAUCUUUGAACGCACAUUGCGCCCCCUGGUAUUCCGGGGGGCAUGCCUGUCCGAGCGUCAUUGCUGCCCUCAAGCCCGGCUUGUGUGUUGGGCCUUGCUCCCCCGGGGGCAGGCCCGAAAGGCAGUGGCGGCACCGCGUCCGAUCCUCGAGCGUAUGGGGCUUUGUCACCCGCUCUGUAGGCCCGGCCGGCGCUUGCCGACCCCAAUCAAUCUUUUUUCAGGUUGACCUCGGAUCAGGUAGGGAUACCCGCUGAACUUAAGCAUAUCAAUAAGCGGAGGA